GACGAACGCUGGCGGCGUGCUUAACACAUGCAAGUCGAACGAUGAAGCCUAGCUUGCUAGGUGGAUUAGUGGCGAACGGGUGAGUAAUACGUGAGUGACCUACCUUUGACUCUGGGAUAAGCCUGGGAAACUGGGUCUAAUACCGGAUACGACCAAUCUCCGCAUGGGGUGUUGGUGGAAAGCGUUAUGGAGUGGUUUUAGAUGGGCUCACGGCCUAUCAGCUUGUUGGUGAGGUAAUGGCUUACCAAGGCGACGACGGGUAGCCGGCCUGAGAGGGUGACCGGCCACACUGGGACUGAGACACGGCCCAGACUCCUACGGGAGGCAGCAGUGGGGAAUAUUGCACAAUGGGCGCAAGCCUGAUGCAGCGACGCCGCGUGAGGGAUGACGGCCUUCGGGUUGUAAACCUCUGUUAGCAUCGAAGAAGC
RNAcentral lists this ribosomal RNA (428 nucleotides) under Rothia dentocariosa. RNAcentral describes it as "bacterial SSU rRNA". It matches the Rfam family "Bacterial small subunit ribosomal RNA", at positions 28 to 451 of the family's 1533-position model. Lineage: Bacteria; Bacillati; Actinomycetota; Actinomycetes; Micrococcales; Micrococcaceae. The record is from RNAcentral.